This 459-nucleotide ribosomal RNA is filed under the name uncultured bacterium. Its description in RNAcentral is "partial 16S ribosomal RNA". It matches the Rfam family "Bacterial small subunit ribosomal RNA", at positions 338 to 795 of the family's 1533-position model. The record is from RNAcentral.
CCUACGGGUGGCAGCAGUGAGGAAUAUUGGUCAAUGGGCGGAAGCCUGAACCAGCCAAGUCGCGUGCGGGACGACGGCCCUACGGAUUGUAAACCGCUUUUAUCCGGGAAUAAAGCCCCCUACGGGUGGGCCUUUGCGUGUACCCUAUGAAUAAGCAUCGGCUAAAUCCGUGCCAGCAGCCGCGGUACUAGGGAGGAUGCGGGCGUUAUCCGGAUUUAUUGGGUUUAAAGGGUGCGUAGGCGGAAGGUCAAGUGGGCGGUAAAAAUGCGGUGCUCAACGCCGUACAGCCGUUGAAACUGGCAGUCUUGAGUGGGCGAGAAGUAUGCGGAAUGCGUGGUGUAGCGGUGAAAUGCAUAGAUAUCACGCAGAACCCCGAUUGCGAAGGCAGCAUGCUGGCGCCCGACUGACGCUGAGGCACGAAAGCGCGGGUAUCGAACAGGAUUAGAUACCCUAGUAGUC